Molecule: ribosomal RNA, 484 nt
Filed under: uncultured bacterium
Lineage: Bacteria
Description: partial 16S ribosomal RNA
Rfam family: Bacterial small subunit ribosomal RNA
Source: RNAcentral
AUUGAACGCUGGCGGCAGGCCUAACACAUGCAAGUCGAGCGGAUGAAGGGAGCUUGCUCCUGGAUUCAGCGGCGGACGGGUGAGUAAUGCCUAGGAAUCUGCCUGGUAGUGGGGGAUAACGUCCGGAAACGGGCGCUAAUACCGCAUACGUCCUGAGGGAGAAAGUGGGGGAUCUUCGGACCUCACGCUAUCAGAUGAGCCUAGGUCGGAUUAGCUAGUUGGUGGGGUAAAGGCCUACCAAGGCGACGAUCCGUAACUGGUCUGAGAGGAUGAUCAGUCACACUAGAACUGAGACACGGUCCAGACUCCUACGGGAGGCAACAGUGGGGAAUAUUGGACAAUGGGCGAAAGCCUGAUCCAGCCAUGCCGCGUGUGUGAAGAAGGUCUUCGGAUUGUAAAGCACUUUAAGUUGGGAGGAAGGGCAGUAAGUUAAUACCUUGCUGUUUUGACGUUACCAACAGAAUAAGCACCGGCUAACUUCGUG